GUGCACUGUUUACUGAGGAGGAUGGCUGCAUUAUGUGCAUUCUUCCAUCAUUACAGUGCUAGAUGAGCCUCAGUUUGCAGAAGGGCUGCGCCAAAUAUUGGCACCUCCCUUUCGAAGACUGAGAACAUGC
Small nucleolar RNA from Pangasianodon hypophthalmus (striped catfish), 130 nucleotides. Lineage: Eukaryota; Metazoa; Chordata; Actinopteri; Siluriformes; Pangasiidae. The record is from RefSeq and is a predicted model, not a curated record.